GACGAACGCUGGCGGCGUGCUUAACACAUGCAAGUCGAACGGAAAGGCCCCUUUGGGGGUACUCGAGUGGCGAACGGGUGAGUAACACGUGGGUAACCUGCCCUUGACUUCGGGAUAACUUCAGGAAACUGGGGCUAAUACCGGAUAGGAAUCCUUGCUGCAUGGUGGGGGUUGGAAAGCUUCGGCGGUUUUGGAUGGACUCGCGGCUUAUCAGCUUGUUGGUGGGGUAGUGGCUUACCAAGGCUUUGACGGGUAGCCGGCCUGAGAGGGCGACCGGCCACAUUGGGACUGAGAUACGGCCCAGACUCCUACGGGAGGCAGCAGUGGGGAAUAUUGCACAAUGGGCGGAAGCCUGAUGCAGCAACGCCGCGUGCGGGAUGACGGCCUUCGGGUUGUAAACCGCUUUCAGCAGGGGCGAAGCUUGUGGUGACGGUACCUGCAGAAGAAGCACCGGCUAACUACGUG
RNAcentral lists this ribosomal RNA (465 nucleotides) under uncultured bacterium. RNAcentral describes it as "partial 16S ribosomal RNA". It matches the Rfam family "Bacterial small subunit ribosomal RNA", at positions 28 to 507 of the family's 1533-position model. The record is from RNAcentral.